AGCUUCAUAAAUUCGUGCUAAAAUUUCGUCAAACAUCAACUUAACAGGGCUGAUGAGACUUUAAAGAUAAAUGAAGUU
Schistosoma mansoni is the source of this 78-nucleotide non-coding RNA. The record is from Rfam. Lineage: Eukaryota; Metazoa; Platyhelminthes; Trematoda; Strigeidida; Schistosomatidae.